GGAUGCGAUCAUACUAGCACUAAAGCACCGGAUCCCAUCAGAACUCUGAAGUUAAGCGUGCUUGGGCGAGAGUAGUACUAGGUUUGGUGACCUCCUGGGAAGUCCUCGUGUUGCAUUCC
Non-coding RNA from Triticum aestivum (bread wheat), 119 nucleotides. The record is from Rfam. Lineage: Eukaryota; Viridiplantae; Streptophyta; Magnoliopsida; Poales; Poaceae.